UGAUUCAAUUGGCAUUGACAUAAUAGGAAUAUUUCGUCUAUUAAGGAGGAUUCCCCGAAUACCUGAAAUAGAGAUAAUCAUAGAAAAUGUGAAAUAUUUGAUAGGAUCCAUUUCGGGAACGUAGAAUGGUUGAGAAAUUCAAAUGUGAAACAAUACGUCAGCUCUUCUACUUUCAAUAUCCUUCAAUUAUGGAUAUGGAAGAAAUCUUCUUUUUUAUACUCAUGUUUCCCCUCCCAUCGCGCUCCGCCGAUUGUUGUGCUCGUGUCAACCAAGCCUAAUUGCUUAGGAGAACCGGCCUUAUUUAGUAAAGUAAAAGCCUUUUCUUGCUUUCCUAUCUCAAGUUAUUUUCCGUGAAUCCACCUAUGAUGAAGCUUGCACCAGCUUUGGAUUAAAGAAGAUCAGUUAUAGAUUCGAAGAAAGGAGUGAGAGACCUUCUGGCGCCCCGGUUCCUUCUUUCCCCAACUCCUUCUUCUCGGAAGAAAAAUAGUGGAUUAGCAGACGAUUCGAGAAUAGAGCAGUGGCCCUAUGUUGAGUAAGGGGUGAGAAGGUGCUCCUGCUGCUAAGUUGGAAUUAGGGAAGUUAAAGUAGGACGUCUGGUGUGACGUCGUCCCGAGGUAGAAAUCUCUAGACAUUCCCCCAGGCGUAAAAAUGGUUAUUGACAAAACUUAACGAUGUUGCAGGGAAAAUAUAAGAAUAGAAGAAGUGCCUUGCCUCCAACAAUUCAGCAUUUGAACUCGUUGGAAAUGGAGAUCGUCCAAUAUUAUGUUCCAGCACUGCCCCUGAAUUAAUCAACCAAGUAGAAGUUGAAGUUCAGUUAGAAUCCAUAUAGUGACGUAGUUUUUUACUAUGAAGAGCCCCCUAUUGUUGAUAGAGAGCUUACCGCCCCGCCCUUUAUAGUCGCGACUAUUGUCUUUUCUCAUGGAGGAGCCCAUCGUACUUUCACUUUUUUCGCUAGCAUGAUGGAUAAAGAGCUGUGAGAAGACAGGAAGUCAGGGUUUCAAACCUAUUUCUCGAUUCACUCAAAGAGGUGAAUAGGGUCCCAAUAGAGAUAUGUAAAAAGUAGGUCCGAUUACGCGUAUUCCUAAUCCUAAAUGGAAUGUAACGAUGUAGGGAUCCAUAUGUAAACAUAGUAUCUAUUUAGAUAGGCCCGAAUGGCCCCUUCUCAUAAUGAGAAUGUAUAUAACCCUAUUACGGCCUGGUCCGGUAAUUUUUGAAGGGGUAUCAUUUUUCUCAAAUAUCAAUAAAACAUGACAACUACCUUAAAUACUUACAAAUUUCCUUAUUACACAAAAACACAAAACAAUAUGACACAAAUUAUCCUAGACAUACUGGUUCUACAACCAUACCGCAGCCAACAAAAAAAAAGCACGACAAUAAAAACCCACGAUGGCUAUGGUAUAUCCAAACCCCAAUUAAAAACUAUGCUCUAUCCUCAAUGCGUGUUAAUAAUACAAAAUAAAAGAAAGUAAGAACAGAUCUGGGAUGCACUAAGCAUCUGUGUCAUGAGCAUCCCUAAAUAGGGGCAUAUCAGUUGGCGGAGGUGAUGGUGGUGGCGGUACACUACUAGAAGAUGCCCCUGCUGCUAUCGUGUCAUGCCUCAGCCUCUCAAUGACUGUGGAGUCCAUCAAAUCAACCUGCUGCUAUGAUGUCAUACCUCAGUCUCUUAAUGACUGCAGAAUUCAUUAAAUCAUGUCUGACUUUUUUAACGGCCUGGUCAUAUGGCAUAUCAGGAUCCUGCAAGUCUUCUAUGUGACCUCUCUUGCUCCCAACUAUCGGUACCUUAUCAUCAUCCUCUGCGAAGAAAUCAAAAUAUUUGGGUGCACACAGAGGUGAUAUAUAGACCACUAGGGGUAUGACUAAAGGAGUAGCUGCUGCAUGGUUUUCUGUAAGAAAACGUACCUCUGCUUGCAAUAUAUCCAUCUCUUCCCUUAUCUGGGCUAGAUCCAGUGCCUCUAUCUCUGUAAAUUAAGUUGUAACCCAUAUCUCAAACUCAUCAAGAUGUGUAAGUCAGUACAUAGCUCACUCAAGGUAGCUUGUGUAAGUCAUCACGUAGCUCACUUAAGCUAGCUCUUUAUGUGGCCUCCUAUCUAGCCUCUUUCAUAUCGAAUCUAGUCCAAACCCCUGAAUGUAUCUGCUCAUAUAGGGUAGUCAUCUUAAUCUCAAUAACCCAAAAUAGACCAUCAAUGGCCCUUUGACAGUCCACUAAAAUCUACAAGAACCCUCGAGAUAUAGUAAUUAUAUUUGUAGCAAAAGCUGUAGUGGAUGGGCGAGUAGGCUCUAAAAAUACAAAAACUGACUCUGAGGUCAAAUCCAGGGGUCCCUUCACCCUGAGUACUCAUAUAUAGGGCCUCUCUCUCCUUCCCUAUCUCUAUAUCAAUUUUAACUCCUAUAUCACCUCCAUGUGCAUCACCAGGCUCUAUGGAAACUAAUGGGCCCUGAGUAUGGGCCUGAGGUACUGCGACAGGCUUUCUAGAUUUCCUGGGAAGGCUUGGACAUGCCAGAUCCUUCAUACUCUUUGUUUGUGCAGUAGUCAUCAUAAGUACCCUCUUAUCUACUCCUGGUAUCUUAGAUACACUGGACUCAUCAUAUAGUCUUUGAAUCAUGUAAGGGAAUGAUAGAUUUGUCAUCUUCCCAGAUGCUCUAUCGUAGAUCUCAUUCCAGAGGAUGGCUACAAAAUUACUAGAAUAUCCGACCAUCAUACUAGAAACCAAGGCUGCCUCCUCCCAAGUCAACGUAUUAUCUGAGGAAGUGGGGAAUAGUUGGUAUCAGAUGAAAAACUACCAAAACUUAGCAUCAAAGGUCAAUGAAACCUUCUUGAUCAAAUGAUGACCCUCGAUCCAUGGGGUCGCAUCAUCCAAAGGUGAAAUAUAGUUGGCUAUCCACCUAGCCAUCUCAACUCUUUCUUGUUUAUGCUCUGUCUCCUGCAUAAUGUGUGGAUUAUGUGUGACUCUCAGUCUGUAGGAACACUUAACUAUGGAUGUGGGAGUGAUAUAAUAUGGACCAAAAUAACUUGAUGUAAUGCCCCGGGAGUACACCCUGGGCGUCACAUGGUGCUUACAGUCCCGAGGGACCACAAGCUAACCCA
This 3085-nucleotide long non-coding RNA is filed under the name Capsicum annuum. RNAcentral's name for it is "long non-coding RNA (CANN_LNC012836)". The record is from RNAcentral. Lineage: Eukaryota; Viridiplantae; Streptophyta; Magnoliopsida; Solanales; Solanaceae.